AUGGGAUGACAUCUAGAUGACGAGUCAGACCGAGUCUUUCGCUGGUGAUAAACCUCUUUUUUACCAUUCAUGCAUUAUCUGAUC
Molecule: small nucleolar RNA, 84 nt
Filed under: Lichtheimia corymbifera JMRC:FSU:9682
Lineage: Eukaryota; Fungi; Mucoromycota; Mucoromycetes; Mucorales; Lichtheimiaceae
Source: RNAcentral